ACUCCUACGGGAGGCAGCAGUGGGGAAUAUUGCACAAUGGGCGCAAGCCUGAUGCAGCCAUGCCGCGUGUGUGAAGAAGGCCCUUCGGGUUGUAAAGCACUUUCAGUUGUGAGGAAGGUGGUGUCGUUAAUAGCGGCAUCAUUUGACGUUAGCAACAGAAGAAGCACCGGCUAACUCCGUGCCAGCAGCCGCGGUAAUACGGAGGGUGCGAGCGUUAAUCGGAAUUACUGGGCGUAAAGCGCAUGCAGGUGGUUUGUUAAGUCAGAUGUGAAAGCCCGGGGCUCAACCUCGGAACUGCAUUUGAAACUGGCAGACUAGAGUACUGUAGAGGGGGUAGAAUUUCAGGUGUAGCGGUGAAAUGCGUAGAGAUCUGAAGGAAUACCGGUGGCGAAGGCGGCCCCCUGGACAGAUACUGACACUCAGAUGCGAAAGCGUGGGGAGCAAACAGGAUUAGAUACCCUGGUAGGACAGUG
This 473-nucleotide ribosomal RNA is filed under the name uncultured bacterium. RNAcentral's name for it is "bacterial SSU rRNA". It matches the Rfam family "Bacterial small subunit ribosomal RNA", at positions 335 to 799 of the family's 1533-position model. The record is from RNAcentral.